RNAcentral lists this long non-coding RNA (874 nucleotides) under Citrus x clementina. Its description in RNAcentral is "Citrus clementina (C. clementina) long non-coding RNA (CCLE_LNC000914)". Lineage: Eukaryota; Viridiplantae; Streptophyta; Magnoliopsida; Sapindales; Rutaceae. The record is from RNAcentral.
UUUAAAAAUCCAAUGUAAAUUGCCACAAGAAAAUCCACAAAAACAAAAAAAUAAAAAUAAAAGUCUACAUUUUUUACUUAAAAAUUUUGAGACUUUUGGGACAUUUAUUGGACAAAAAAUAGAAUGGUUCAACUAAAGCCCAAAUAAAUAUGGUCCCUAUAAAGUCCACGAAGAAAUUGAUAAAAAUCACCGAGGAUAAAAUCUCCUAGUACCAAGGUUCAUAACCUUCAAGGUUCCUAUAAUAAAUCUCCUAAGAUAACCUUCUGGGUUACAAGGUUCUAAUGAAAAACCACCUUGGAUAAAACCUCCUAGGUUCUGAGAUUCCUAGCUUCUAAGGUCCCAAGGUUCCAAAGUUCCUAGCCUCCAAGGAUCCUAUAUUCCAAGGUUUUUAAGUUUUGAGGUUCUUAGCCUCCAAAAUCCCUAAGACAAACCAUCUAGGAAAAAACUAAGCUCCAAGAUUCCUAACCUUCAAGAUUCCCAAGUUUCAAGGUUUUUAGGACAAAUCACUUAAGUUAAACCUCCUACAUUCCUCAGGUUAACCUCCAAACAGAGGCGGAACAAGCCAACUUUGACUAUGAGGGCAAAAGAAUUUAUACAAAAAAGCUUGACGUAUUUUGUUAUGCUUACUCACAGGAUACUUUAAAUAUUUGCUGAUGCAAUCCUGGGUCACAUUGUAAAGAGUCUAGAUUAUUAUCUUUUCUUGAUUAAACUCAUGGAAAUUUGAGGGUACACUGCUCCUAAUCAAGGAUUAAAGAUUCAACAUUAGUUAGACUCAGAGUCAAAGAAUUAAGAUUUUCUAAUUCAUCUUUUCUCUUAAAAAAUUAUCUAGAGUCUUUUCGACUUAACCAUAACUUGAGGAAAAAAUUAUUUUUAU